AAAAAAAACAUAAAUAUUCUGUUUUUAUUCAGACCAAACUAUUUUUUUUUUGUUUUAUUUCAAAAACUUCUAAAAUCAAAACUUUCAACAACGGAUCUCUUGGUUCUCGCAUCGAUGAAGAACGCAGCGAAUUGCGAUACGUAAUAUGACUUGCAGACGUGAAUCAUUGAAUCUUUGAACGCACAUUGCGCCUUGAGGUAUUCCUCAAGGCAUGCCUGUUUGAGCGUCGGCUCACUUCAAACCCUCGGGUUUGGCUUUGGCUCCAUCGAAACUACAAAACUAAUGCAAUACGUUUUCAUUAGUAUGUUUUCGCCCUCAAAUCAGGUAAGACUACCCGGCUCCCGAACUUAAGCAUAUCNUAAGCGGAGGAA
RNAcentral lists this ribosomal RNA (371 nucleotides) under Clavispora sp. SB5-2. RNAcentral's name for it is "eukaryotic LSU rRNA". The stretch from base 80 to 229 matches the Rfam family "5.8S ribosomal RNA". Lineage: Eukaryota; Fungi; Ascomycota; Pichiomycetes; Serinales; Metschnikowiaceae. The record is from RNAcentral.